CCUACGGGUGGCAGCAGUGAGGAAUAUUGGUCAAUGGGCUUACGCCUGAACCAGCCAAGUCGCGUGAGGGAAGACUGCCCUAUGGGUUGUAAACCUCUUUUGUCAGGGAGCAACGCCGGCUACGUGUAGCCGGACUGAGAGUACCUGAAGAAAAAGCAUCGGCUAACGCCGUGCCAGCAGCCGCGGUAAUCCGGAGGAUGCGAGCGUUAUCCGGAUUUAUUGGGUUUAAAGGGUGCGUAGGCGGAAUGCCAAGUCAGCGGUAAAAUCGCGGGGCUCAACCUCGCUCCGCCGUUGAAACUGGCGUGCUUGAGUGGGCGAGAAGUAUGCGGAAUGCGUGGUGUAGCGGUGAAAUGCAUAGAUAUCACGCAGAACUCCGAUUGCGAAGGCAGCAUACCGGCGCCCAACUGACGCUGAAGCACGAAAGCGUGGGUAUCGAACAGGAUUAGAUACCCUGGUAGUC
Molecule: ribosomal RNA, 460 nt
Filed under: uncultured bacterium
Lineage: Bacteria
Description: partial 16S ribosomal RNA
Rfam family: Bacterial small subunit ribosomal RNA
Source: RNAcentral